Molecule: ribosomal RNA, 253 nt
Filed under: uncultured bacterium
Lineage: Bacteria
Description: partial 16S ribosomal RNA
Rfam family: Bacterial small subunit ribosomal RNA
Source: RNAcentral
UACGUAGGGGGCGAGCGUUGUCCGGAGUUACUGGGCGUAAAGGGCGUGCAGGCGGUGCGGUAAGUUUAGCGUGACAGUCUCCGGCUUAACUGGAGAAGGCCGCUGAAAACUGCUGGACUUGAGGGCCAGAGAGGGACACGGAAUUCCGGGUGGAGUGGUGAAAUGCGUAGAGAUCCGGAGGAACACCAAAGGCGAAGGCAGUGUCCUGGGGAGUACCUGACGCUCAGGUGCGAAAGCCAGGGGAGCGAACGGG